Molecule: ribosomal RNA, 504 nt
Filed under: uncultured bacterium
Lineage: Bacteria
Description: bacterial SSU rRNA
Rfam family: Bacterial small subunit ribosomal RNA
Source: RNAcentral
CUCAGGAUGAACGCUAGCUACAGGCUUAACACAUGCAAGUCGAGGGGCAGCAUUGGAGUAGCAAUACUCAGAUGGCGACCGGCGCACGGGUGAGUAACACGUAUCCAACCUGCCGCUUACUCGGGGGGUAGCCUUUCGAAAAGAAAGAUUAAUACCCGAUGGUAUAAAGAGUUCGCAUGUUCUCUUUAUUAAAGAAUUUCGGUAAGCGAUGGGGAUGCGUUCCAUUAGAUAGUUGGCGGGGUAACGGCCCACCAAGUCUACGAUGGAUAGGGGUUCUGAGAGGAAGGUCCCCCACAUUGGAACUGAGACACGGUCCAAACUCCUACGGGAGGCAGCAGUGAGGAAUAUUGGUCAAUGGACGCGAGUCUGAACCAGCCAAGUAGCGUGAAGGAUGACUGCCCUAUGGGUUGUAAACUUCUUUUAUAAGGGAAUAAAGUGAGGGACGUGUCCCUUUUUGUAUGUACCUUAUGAAUAAGGAUCGGCUAACUCCGUGCCAGCAGCAGC